RNAcentral lists this transfer RNA (85 nucleotides) under marine sediment metagenome. It matches the Rfam family "tRNA". From Rfam's summary of the family: Transfer RNA (tRNA) molecules are approximately 80 nucleotides in length. The record is from RNAcentral.
GCGGAGGUGGCGGAAUUGGUAGACGUGUACGCUUGAGGGGCGUAUGGCAAUAGCCGUGGGGGUUCGAGUCCCCCCCUCCGCACCA